This 290-nucleotide ribosomal RNA is filed under the name uncultured bacterium. RNAcentral's name for it is "partial 16S ribosomal RNA". It matches the Rfam family "Bacterial small subunit ribosomal RNA", at positions 506 to 796 of the family's 1533-position model. The record is from RNAcentral.
GUCCAGCCGCCGCGGUAAUACGGAGGGUGCAAGCGUUGUCCGGAAUCACUGGGCGUAAAGGGGGCGCAGGCGGGGCAGCAAGUCGGAGGUGAAAGCCCAUGGCUCAACCAUGGAAGUGCCUUCGAAACUGUUGCUCUUGAGUCCCGGAGAGGCUGUCGGAAUUCGUGGUGUAGCGGUGAAAUGCGUAGAUAUCACGAGGAACACCAGAGGCGAAAGCGGGCAACUGGACGGGUACUGACGCUCAGGCACGAAAGCGCGGGGAGCAAACAGGAUUAGAAACCCUGUAGUCC